This 88-nucleotide transfer RNA is filed under the name Edaphosphingomonas haloaromaticamans. RNAcentral describes it as "Sphingomonas haloaromaticamans tRNA-Arg". The record is from RNAcentral. Lineage: Bacteria; Pseudomonadati; Pseudomonadota; Alphaproteobacteria; Sphingomonadales; Rhizorhabdaceae.
AGAUCGCGGCCGGGGUCGAUGCCGUCCAGCUUUUCGACAGCUGGGCCGGCAGCCUGGCCCCCGCCCAGUUCGAACGCUGGGUGAUCGC